UUGGGAAUUUUGCACAAUGGACGAAAGUCUGAUGCAGCAACGCCGCGUGGAGGAAGAAGAUCUUCGGAUCGUAAACUCCUUUUAUAGGCGAGUAAUUUUUUGAAAGUAGCCUAUGAAUAAGCACCGGCUAACUCCGUGCCAGCAGCCGCGGUAAUACGGAGGGUGCUAACGUUGUCCGGAAUUACUGGGCGUAAAGCGCAUGUAGGUGGCCUGUUAAGUGAACGAUCAAAGACCAACGCUUAACGUUGGGACCGUUGUUCAUACUGGCAGGCUAGAGGAUACCAGGGGUAAGCGGAACUUUAAGUGUAGGAGUGAUAUCCGUAGAUAUUUAAAGGAACACCAAUGGCGAAGGCAGCUUACUGGGGUAUUUCUGACACUGAGAUGCGAAAGUGUGGGGAGCAAACGGG
Molecule: ribosomal RNA, 407 nt
Filed under: uncultured bacterium
Lineage: Bacteria
Description: bacterial SSU rRNA
Rfam family: Bacterial small subunit ribosomal RNA
Source: RNAcentral